Molecule: long non-coding RNA, 856 nt
Organism: Cyprinus carpio (common carp)
Lineage: Eukaryota; Metazoa; Chordata; Actinopteri; Cypriniformes; Cyprinidae
Source: Ensembl
AUAUUACUUAUUUAUUGUGGUUGCAAGCUUUUGGGAUUCUAUUUGGGUUUUGCUUGAGUAUGUCUGAGGUUUCCCUGCUAUGUGGACAAAGGCGGAUAAUUUUUGUUCGUGUAUGUGUGUGUGUGGUUGGCAUGGUCUUUUCUCUCUCAUCUGGUCUCCAUUACGACUGGGAGUAUAAAACUACUGCACUGAGAGAGAGCUCCACAGAGCCGACUUAACACACUAACCCCACAAGCUAACACACUCGUGCAGCUUUUGCUAUGGUGCUGUGGGUCUUUUUGCUCUUUCUGCAGGGAUGUCUGCUCACACAUGCUCUGGACUGCAGGGGCAGGAGUGUGGACUGUGUCAGUACACAGGCUACAGAGGUCAAGGUUAAAGAUGAGUCCUUGUCUUCUCUGGUGAGUCUGUCACUUUUGAUCAAUUUUAAAGUAUGAAUUCUUUUAAAAACAGUACAAAAAAAUCUGAGCUGAAAAGUAUGCAGAUUACGUAUGGAUCUGAACUGCAAAUCGACCAAUAUCUAUUUCUCUUUUUUCAGAUGAGCGCUCAAAGACAAGCUCAACUCACUCAGCAGCCUGGAUCUUAUUCAGUCAAAGGAUCUCCUAACACACUCAUCCAAACUGACAGGUCGAGGCGACAUUUGACUGCUAGUAAAAAAAAGCCCCACAGAUCUCGCAUCGGCUCUUACUCACUUCUUUCCCAUAACCACGCAACCAACCAACUGCAGGUCGUAAGUGCUCAUAGACACUUUGAGGAUGUGUCCCAUCCCAAAUUGACUGCAUUAAAGUCUGUGAAGAACAGAUCCAGAAGAAGUGCACCCAAGAGAAAGAAGAACGCAAGGAAUAACACAUGCUCAUGA